CUUUGAAAACGCUUUCCUUGAUAAAAUUUAAGCGUUUUAUAAGAGGAUGCCGGGGAAGGUUUUCCGGUUUAUCCCGGAGGGCUUGUAGCUCAGUUGGUUAGAGCGCGCGCUUGAUAAGCGUGAGGUCGGAGGUUCAAGUCCUCCCAGGCCCACCAGUUUAUCCAUUACUUUCAUAAGUGCUUUUAAAAAAUAAGUACUUCUAAAAAGAUUGCUUCUAAAAAGAUUGCUUCUAAAAAGCUUAUCAAAAUUGGCAGGCUUAUUGCUUUUGUGUGAGUAAUCCAAAGUUAAAGCAAAUUAAUGGCAAAAAAACAGUUCAAAUGCUAAAUACUAAGGAGUCAAAAUUCCUUGCAAAGUGAUUUUUACAGCGUCCAUUUGGUUGAUAUAAAUUCCAAAUGCUCAUAGACGUCAAUGCCUAUAUGAAACUAUCGGUUCAAUCAUAUCGCUUUGAGUUAUAUAGAUUUUGUAAUCCCUCUUUUGAUCGUUUUAAACGCUUUAUCCUGAUUUAGGGGCCGUAGCUCAGCUGGGAGAGCACCUGCUUUGCAAGCAGGGGGUCGUCGGU
This 559-nucleotide unclassified non-coding RNA is filed under the name Bartonella henselae. RNAcentral describes it as "partial may contain 16S ribosomal RNA, 16S-23S intergenic spacer, and 23S ribosomal RNA". The stretch from base 79 to 152 matches the Rfam family "tRNA". Lineage: Bacteria; Pseudomonadati; Pseudomonadota; Alphaproteobacteria; Hyphomicrobiales; Bartonellaceae. The record is from RNAcentral.